UAUUCGCAUUUGUUUUUUUUCAUAGAUGAGAGGAUCUAGGACUCUACAAAGUUAUUAUUCUAAAAAAGAUUUUUGAGAUUGCUUUUGUACUCUUAGAAGAGAUUUAUGCUUGAUUUAUGAUAUAGGUUUCAUAGUCGUACCAACACUAUGCUAUGUUACAAUGUUGGUUGCUCCACUGCCUGCGGGGUUUUCAGGAAGAUUAGAGGGUUGGUGAUGGUCUGUAGAUCAAAAAUGUAGAUGCUCUCAAGAUCUCUUCAAAACAUUGAACUUAGCAUCUAACUCGAUUCAUCAUAAUUUAAGCCUCCAAGAUUUGUUUGAUUUUUAAAAUAUAUAUAGAAUAGAUAUAAUAAAAUAGAUAAAUAAAAUAAAAAAAUUAUUUAAAAAAAUCACAUCCCAUGCAUUAAUCGCAGGGGAUUAUAAGCUAGUAUAAAAUAUUACCCACCACUUUUGGAAAAGAUUGGCUUGCAAAAUAUGAACAUUUUAGUACAUAUAAGAUGCGUCUUGCUGCCAUUUUUCGGAGAUUUAGCACAUGUAGAACGUGGGUUAAUAGAUUUGGAAGGCUGUAAAUUUGCAUAUAUUUUCUGUAUAUUUUCCUUGAACAUUACUACUUUAAUAUUUGCUAACAUGGAGCAAUAAAAUUAUUUUAUUUCACAACUUUACAGUUACAUGCGAAUGAGUAAGAUUAUUAUAAAGUUUAAGACACUCUAGACUCGUUUGGUUUGCAGGGAUUGGAUGGGGGAAAGUAUGAUUUUUGGGAAGUAGAAAAAAAUCUUUUUUGUUUGGUUGGAAUUUUCAGAAGAGAGAUUGGAAAAAAAGUCUUCUUAUGGUAAUCCAUUUUCCAUAUUUUAUGGGAAAGAAAAAUCUAGGGGGAGGUGGGUUUUUGGAAUUCCAAUAAGAUGAAAAUUGGAGCCUUUUUUUAUUCUGAAAUUACUUUUUAAUGCUGUCUUUUUAUAUUAUAUUAAUAUAAAUAUUAAUAUAAUAAUAUCUUAAUAUUACAUUAGUAUUAAUAAUAAUAUUAAUAUAAUAUUACAUUAGUAUUAAUAAUAAUAUUAAUAUAAUAUUACAUAAAAUAUAAUAAAUUAAUAUUAAAACUUAUAUUAGUAUAAAAUUAUAAUAUUUAUAUAAUAUUAUAUUAGUAAAUAGUAUGUUAAAAUAUUAAUAUUAUAUUAAUAUUUAUAUUAAUAUAAUAAUUUAUUAUGAUGUAAUGUUAUAUUCUAUUAUAUUAGUAUUAUAUUAUACAUUAUAUUUAUAGUAUAUAAAGUUUGGGAGCACAGAGGUAGUGUUACAUCUAUA
This 1293-nucleotide long non-coding RNA is filed under the name Elaeis guineensis (African oil palm). Its description in RNAcentral is "long non-coding RNA (EGUI_LNC060150)". Lineage: Eukaryota; Viridiplantae; Streptophyta; Magnoliopsida; Arecales; Arecaceae. The record is from RNAcentral.